CAAUAUGAGAAGAUUUGGUUUCAUUGGGCUCCAGCUACUGUAAUUAGCUUCAUUUUGCAAGGUGCCUAGGAGAGCAGGAUUUUUGGCAAGGCAAAGUGUAACCAUCUGAGAAAUGGGCAUGGUGCCACUGAAACAGAUGGAUGCAGAAGGAAAACAGACUUCAUGAACGUGUUUGAAGAGGGCAGUCUGUGUUACACAUUAAGACGUGUCCUAACUGGCCAAAGGGCUGUUGGUUCCCCUAGCCAUGAUACGCAAUGACACGUAUUGAGCAAAGCAUUCAAAGCAGAAUGAGGGGGGAAGGAAGGGGGAACCAGCACCAGGAAGCAGCCAGUUGUAUUCAGUUGCUACUCCAGCUGUUCUGUCCCUGCUCCCACUACUUUUGACAUGGAGAAUGAGUAUGAAGUCAAGAAUGUUUUAAACAUGAAGAGAGUUAAAAGUAAAACCUGAUGGACUGCAAAGGAUUCAGUCCAGAAGAGAGAUCCUGGGAGUUUGCUGAAAACAUCAUCGCUUCAGCCCUUCUGAAUACAUUUCUACAGUCUGGACCAAAGAAGAGGAGGUAUAAGAAGGCAGGUACUGGUAUACCAGUAGUAAGUGCCCACCAUCAUAGACACAUCUGCCAGAGUGCUCACCCAGUCUUGGUUCCGUCCUUCCGGUGGUGAGUGCUCGUAGGUGUCCUGUUGACCAUCCCCAGUGGGCAAUAUUGGGAUGCUCUGCCACUUAACACUAGCUGCAGCCAUAUUCUACCUCCUGACAGCUCUGCCUCUGCUCCUGGAGCCUAUGGCAUGCCCUCUCUCUCUGUAUAUUAAAGGGACAGCUCAAACACCUUAGUCUUCCACAGUCAAUGGCCGGUACCUAAGCAGUAGGUUCUAGUACUCUAGUGAGCUGCAAAGGUGUGCUGUUUCUUGUCUGCUUGUGAACCGACUUUUACCUGAUCUCCAGAUUUGACCCUUUACUGCCCUUGGCUUCUGCAUGUUCUCUGUUCUGACCCUGUGCUGCGUAGCUGACCCUCAAAUUGGCCCUUGGAUUAUAUGCCCUGCCCUGACCUCGGCUUCUCCCUGACUACAGUUUUUGCUUCAAACUUUGGUACUCUGUGUCUCUUCACCGCAAUCAGUCAGCAGUCUGCUGAACAGACACUACUCCUAAAGGUAGCAGCCUGGUGGUCCCCCUGCAGCAGAGUUCAGAUUUCUGUAUAGGGGUUAAAGGGUGACUACCAGGGUAGUUUUAAUAUCUCUUCAGAGGACACAGCGAAUCCAUAUUCUCUUCAUAACAAUAGGUAUUAGAUGUCUGACCUCUGGGGGUUCAACUGCUGAGACCCCACCAAUCACAGGAAUGGUGCACUGCCACUAAAUUCAUCUCUAUGGAACUGCCAAAGGGAAGCCAAGUACAUCACUCAGUUAUUUUUGUAAGUUCAAAACAGAUGAAUGUGUUCUUCUUCACCCAUAGAGGAAGAAACACCCACCUGCAUGUUGGUUCACGGGCCAGAAAUCUCGCCCAGCCCUGACAAUCUUGCGCCUGCUCUGCUGCUUCGACUAGCGGUGAAAGUGCAGAGGCUCUGAUUGUCCCACCUGGCCCUGUGGAUCAACAGGCAGAUAGGCACUUCUUCGCCUGUAAUGGCAGUCCCUCACAGGUGAAUAACUCUGGCUGUUGAGACAAAUUGAUUGCUUAGAAUUGAUUUGCUUCUCUCUAGUUAUCUUCCAUCAGCUCUCGUACUGCUUGAACUUCGGGCACUGUAAUACAGCACUAACCGGCAGUAUGCUUAGUUUAUUAGGGCUGAUCAUGCUGAUAGAUGCUCUUUAAAUGUCCAAAAACGACAUCUUG
Molecule: long non-coding RNA, 1818 nt
Organism: Bufo gargarizans (Asiatic toad)
Lineage: Eukaryota; Metazoa; Chordata; Amphibia; Anura; Bufonidae
Exons: 4
Source: RefSeq, a predicted model, not a curated record